CGCCGCGUCCUCCAGCCUCCCCCAACAGCACGCUCUCCAGCCUCAGCGGCAAGCGCGGCGCGCCAUCUGCUCCGGCGGCGGUGGCAGCGAGGACUCCGGCGGCGGAUCCCGCAAGAAGCUCCGCCUCUCGAAGGACCAAGCCGCCGUCCUCGAGGACACCUUCAAAGAGCACAACACCGUCAACCCUAUAAGCAAGCAAACAAACAAUCAAAAAGCAGAAGGCGGCGCUGGCGAGGCAGUUGAAUCUGAAGCCGUAGCAGGUGGAGGUGUGGUUCCAGAACAGGAGGGCGAGAACGAAGCUGAGGCAGACGGAGGUGGACAGCGAGCUGCUCUAAGGCAGACGGAGGUGGAGGGAGUCAAAGUGGACUUAUUAAAUCAACGUGGACAGGUUGGAGAGGGAGGCCGGGCUCUGGGGCGUACUGUAGAUUUUGGGCCGUUCUCUAUGGCCCAGGAUGCGGUGUCCGACUCCAACUAAGCCCAGAAGUUCUAUUCUAUCUGAAUAAGGAAAUACUCUUCUGUCUGUCUCCCCUUCUCUCGAAUUUUUUUUAUUUAUAAUUUUUUUUA
Molecule: long non-coding RNA, 564 nt
Organism: Oryza sativa Japonica Group (Japanese rice)
Lineage: Eukaryota; Viridiplantae; Streptophyta; Magnoliopsida; Poales; Poaceae
Source: RefSeq, a predicted model, not a curated record